ACGGAGGGUGCGAGCGUUAAUCGGAAUCACUGGGCGUAAAGCGCACGUAGGCGGUUUCUUAAGUCGGAUGUGAAAGCCCUCGGCUCAACCGGGGAACUGCAUUCGAUACUGCGAUGCUUGAGUGCCGUAGAGGGGGGUAGAAUUCCAGGUGUAGGGGUGAAAUGCGUAGAUAUCUGGAGGAAUACCGGUGGCGAAGGCGGCCACCUGGACGAAAACUGACGCUCAGGUGCGAAAGCGUGGGGAGCAAACAG
This 251-nucleotide ribosomal RNA is filed under the name uncultured prokaryote. Its description in RNAcentral is "partial 16S rRNA". It matches the Rfam family "Bacterial small subunit ribosomal RNA", at positions 525 to 775 of the family's 1533-position model. The record is from RNAcentral.